GCCGCGGUGGCGGAACUGGCAUACGCGCACGGUUCAGAGCCGUGUGUCCGCAAGGGCUUGUGGGUUCAAAUCCCACCCGCGGCA
Molecule: transfer RNA, 84 nt
Filed under: Candidatus Sungbacteria bacterium RIFCSPHIGHO2_01_FULL_47_32
Lineage: Bacteria; Candidatus Sungiibacteriota
Also listed under: 3 other names
Description: tRNA-Leu
Rfam family: tRNA
About the family: Transfer RNA (tRNA) molecules are approximately 80 nucleotides in length.
Source: RNAcentral